GGCACAUUAGUUUAGUGGUAAAACAUCAGUCUCAUAAGCUGAAAUCGUGAGUUCGAUUCUCACAUGUGCCUC
RNAcentral lists this transfer RNA (72 nucleotides) under Tupanvirus deep ocean. RNAcentral describes it as "tRNA-Met". It matches the Rfam family "tRNA". From Rfam's summary of the family: Transfer RNA (tRNA) molecules are approximately 80 nucleotides in length. Their secondary structure includes four short double-helical elements and three loops (D, anti-codon, and T loops). RNAcentral also lists the same sequence under 1 other name. The record is from RNAcentral. Lineage: Varidnaviria; Bamfordvirae; Nucleocytoviricota; Megaviricetes; Imitervirales; Mimiviridae.